CCGCACAGACAGUUCUUCACUUCUUUUUUAUCGAUCCAUUUCAUCCUUCUUUAAUUAUAAAUCACAUUUGCCAAUCGAAGACGUCUUGCAUCUCGCUUCUUUCCAUUCAUCCGCUAUACUUUAGAUUGGUUCAAUUGCAAUGUUCAAAAAUCAAGUAUUAUACAGUGAAUGGUUCAAUGGGAUAAGAGCCUAACAAUGUUAAUGUCAUAAGGCAAGAUCAAUGAUGCAAGAGUCUAACAAACCUAGUGCGGUGGAGAAGUUUGUGUUAGUAGACAUACAACCUCAAAAUGAUACUGCGGACAAGGAUCAAUUAGAUGAGGAAAAAAGAGGAAGAAAGCCAAGUACUAAAUUUGUUGAGACCAGGAACUUAUCGUUGAGGGCAGAGAUUGUGGACUUUGCACCAAACAAAGAAUUUAUCAAAGAAAUACAAGAAUUAGCAAAUGCAAAAGAUACUCCUCAACAUGCAUUAGCUAUUAUCCCCAUAAUAGAGGAUGCUGAUGUUGCACUGAUGUUGAACCAAAUAAAGUACAAUCAAUCAAAUAUGGAAAUUAUGCACGCGAAUUUUCAAUGAAUCAAAGACUACAACAUUGGAACAUGCAACAAAGGGAACGACAUAACGGGAUGCGAGAUGUUUAUUUUCAUCACUUAACAUUGCAAUAGAAAUUUCGAUCAAAGCAAGAAGUAAUCCAGUUUGUUCUUUGGGAAACUUAUCCUCCCAAACAUGAAAAUAAGACAAGAAAGACAGUUGAAGCUGGAAUAGAUAACCAGAUUUAACAUGCACUCCUUAAAACAACAGGAGAGAAAGAUCUUCUCACCCACACAAGAUUGAAGCAGAGAAUAAGUUGAUGGAUGAUCAAAUGGUCAAGGAAUCCUCAAAAUUAGGAGAAAUGUAAAUGGAAUAGAUCUUAGUUGUAACGAAGAUGCUCGAUGAGACUAAUGAGAAUCAUCAGUUUUUUUGUUUUAAUUCGUUCUUUGAUGUUUUCUUGAAAAAGGUUGCCAUAAACAUUGAAUAUCUUAUAUUCUCCCUUCUAAUUUUGAUUCCGCUACAUUGCAUCUGA
This is a long non-coding RNA of Gastrolobium bilobum, 1058 nucleotides long. RefSeq lists it as uncharacterized. The transcript is spliced from 7 exons. The record is from RefSeq and is a predicted model, not a curated record. Lineage: Eukaryota; Viridiplantae; Streptophyta; Magnoliopsida; Fabales; Fabaceae.